RNAcentral lists this transfer RNA (72 nucleotides) under Ogcogaster segmentator. Its description in RNAcentral is "tRNA-Val". It matches the Rfam family "tRNA". From Rfam's summary of the family: Transfer RNA (tRNA) molecules are approximately 80 nucleotides in length. Their secondary structure includes four short double-helical elements and three loops (D, anti-codon, and T loops). Lineage: Eukaryota; Metazoa; Arthropoda; Insecta; Neuroptera; Myrmeleontidae. The record is from RNAcentral.
CAAAUUAGAGCUUGAUUAGUAAAGCAUUUCGUUUACAUUGAAAAGUUUACCGUGCAAUUCGGUUUAGUUUGA